UCCCCCAAUCCUUGUUUCUUUAUUUCAUCUUCUCGAGUCUCGCCGCCUCUGAAAACUCACAGAGCGAUCGUCCGGUACUGGUACUACUCUCCGCUCUACUUCCACGAGUUUCGGUGGUUAUGGAGCAUAAACUAGCGAGUGCUGAGAAGAAGGUACGCCGCCUCGAUAGAAUAUUUGUCACCUUUGAUUUCUUGAUUUCCUAGUGGAUCUGGUGAAGCUAGUGCAGAAUCGAUGGUUAGAAGGCGAAAACGGAGGAUGGAAGGAGUUUCUAAACUCUUACGAUAAGGGAUUGGGCUUGAGUGUGGGCGAUCCUUCGCGACGCUCCGACGAUGUAUUGGUCGCUUUUCUUUCCACUUUCAAAAAGAAGGAAGAUUUGCACACAUUCUUAAGAUGGCAGUGAAGCUGUUGUCAGGGUUGCCGCUGUGGACCGUGAUUUAAAGGUGGUUCUUGACAAAUUUGUGAAACCGAGCCUACCCGUUAUUGACUAUAAGACGGAAAUCACUGGAGUUUGCCACAGAAAAUGGUUCAGUUUCAACCGAGUUCUGGAUCAAUAUCUAGACUAUACGUUCGCAAAAAUGUUCAAGAUGGUGGAGUCCCUGUCAAAAA
Molecule: long non-coding RNA, 606 nt
Organism: Brassica oleracea var. oleracea
Lineage: Eukaryota; Viridiplantae; Streptophyta; Magnoliopsida; Brassicales; Brassicaceae
Exons: 2
Source: RefSeq, a predicted model, not a curated record